CCUACGGGAGGCAGCAGUGGGGGAUAUUGCACAAUGGGGGGAACCCUGAUGCAGCGACGCCGCGUGGGUGAAGAAGCGCCUCGGCGCGUAAAGCCCUGUCAGCAGGGAAGAAAAUGACGGUACCUGAAGAAGAAGCCCCGGAAAACUACGUGCCAGCAGCCGCGGGAAUACGUAGGGGGCAAGCGUUAUCCGGAUUUAAUGGGUGUAAAGGGGGCGCAGACGGCGAUGCAAGCCAGGAGUGAAAGCCCGGGGCCCACCCCCGGGACUGCUCUUGGAACUGCGUGGCUGGAGUGCAGGAGGGGCAGGCGGAAUGCCUGGUGUAGCGGUGAAAUGCGUAGAUAUCAGGAGGAACACCGGUGGCGAAGGCGGCCUGCUGGACUGCAACUGACGUUGAGGCCCGAAAGCGUGGGGAGCAAACAGGAUUAGAUACCCUAGUAGUC
This 440-nucleotide ribosomal RNA is filed under the name uncultured bacterium. Its description in RNAcentral is "partial 16S ribosomal RNA". It matches the Rfam family "Bacterial small subunit ribosomal RNA", at positions 338 to 795 of the family's 1533-position model. The record is from RNAcentral.